CUUCAGCGAACCCAGCCACAGCGGCUGCUCCGCGUCACGGCCCUGCCCGUACGUGGCCAGGAGCGCCUGCGCCUC
Molecule: antisense RNA, 75 nt
Filed under: Streptomyces sp. XY332
Lineage: Bacteria; Bacillati; Actinomycetota; Actinomycetes; Kitasatosporales; Streptomycetaceae
Description: ASpks sRNA
Rfam family: ASpks TB sRNA
Source: RNAcentral